AACUAGCCCUGAUUGCAGCGGCAUCCUUUUUUGUUUUUUUUAUGCAAUCACUUCUAUUGGAUUGACAAAUGUUCUGAAAAAACAAAAAAGAUAUAGCGGAAAGCAGAAUUAGCU
This 114-nucleotide small RNA is filed under the name Chryseobacterium sp. FH1. RNAcentral's name for it is "Flavo-1 RNA". It matches the Rfam family "Flavo-1 RNA". The record is from Rfam by way of RNAcentral. Lineage: Bacteria; Pseudomonadati; Bacteroidota; Flavobacteriia; Flavobacteriales; Weeksellaceae.